AUUGAACGCUGGCGGCAUGCCUUACACAUGCAAGUCGAACGGCAGCGCGGGAGCAAUCCUGGCGGCGAGUGGCGAACGGGUGAGUAAUACAUCGGAACGUGCCUAAUCGUGGGGGAUAACGCAGCGAAAGCUGUGCUAAUACCGCAUACGAUCUACGGAUGAAAGCAGGGGAUCGCAAGACCUUGCGCGAAUGGAGCGGCCGAUGGCAGAUUAGGUAGUUGGUGAGGUAAAGGCUCACCAAGCCUUCGAUCUGUAGCUGGUCUGAGAGGACGACCAGCCACACUGGGACUGAGACACGGCCCAGACUCCUACGGGAGGCAGCAGUGGGGAAUUUUGGACAAUGGGCGAAAGCCUGAUCCAGCCAUGCCGCGUGCAGGAUGAAGGCCUUCGGGUUGUAAACUGCUUUUGUACGGAACGAAACGGUCUUUUCUAAUAAAGAAGGCUAAUGACGGUACCGUAAGAAUAAGCACCGGCUAACUACGUG
Molecule: ribosomal RNA, 484 nt
Filed under: uncultured bacterium
Lineage: Bacteria
Description: partial 16S ribosomal RNA
Rfam family: Bacterial small subunit ribosomal RNA
Source: RNAcentral